RNAcentral lists this ribosomal RNA (492 nucleotides) under uncultured bacterium. RNAcentral's name for it is "partial 16S ribosomal RNA". It matches the Rfam family "Bacterial small subunit ribosomal RNA", at positions 29 to 507 of the family's 1533-position model. The record is from RNAcentral.
AGUGAACGCUGGCGGCAGGCCUAACACAUGCAAGUCGAGCGGCAGCACAGUAAGAGCUUGCCCUUACGGGUGGCGAGUGGCGGACGGGUGAGGAAUACAUCGCAAACUUCUUUUUCGUGGGUGACAACGUAGGGAAACUUACGCUAAUACCGCAUACGACCUACGGGUGAAAGCAGGGGUUCUUCGGACCUUGCGCGAUUGAAUGAGCCGAUGUCGGAUUAGCUAGUUGGCGGGGUAAAGGCCCACCAAGGCGACGAUCCGUAGCUGGUCUGAGAGGAUGAUCGGCCACACUGGAACUGAGACACGGUCCAGACUCCUACGGGAGGCAGCAGUGGGGAAUAUUGGACAAUGGGCGCAAGCCUGAUCCAGCCAUACCGCGUGAGUGAAGAAGGUCUUCGGGUUGUAAAGCCCUGUUGUUAGGAAAGAAAAGCAGCGUGUGAAUCCCCCGCUGUUUUGACGGUACCUAAUGAGUAAGCACCGGCUAACUUCGUG